UAAAUGUAAAACUAUGGUCCAUAUGUCAUU
This 30-nucleotide non-coding RNA is filed under the name Rattus norvegicus (Norway rat). The record is from RNAcentral. Lineage: Eukaryota; Metazoa; Chordata; Mammalia; Rodentia; Muridae.